AUAGACAGGAGUGAAACUGUUUUGAACUGAAACAGGACUUCUGGGGCACUUGAAAUUGGGUCUGAGUUACCAAAGAGAAGAAUGGGUGAGAGCAUUUACUAUCUCCAGCAUGAAGCAGUGGAGUGCGAGUACAGUCUUGAUGUUGUAUCGUGUUACAAGCGUAUAAUGACAUCCUGGAAAAAGCAGGGCUGAUCAAGAUCUUCUAGACAGUGCAAUAGGAACAAAAACGCCUGAUGUAUUUGCCAGGAUGGAGUAUGUGGAUGGAUUUCUACUGGGGUUAGGAAGACUAUACACACAGUUAAGACCAUAGGGCAUAACAAGGUCUAAGAAUACCUUUGUAUACAAAAGAAAUUCUGAGUGACUCUAUUUUUUUAGGAGUUACUUCAUGCCCCAAAUCAUGCUCUGUGUAGGCUCAUCUAGUUUUAAUACUCACUUCUGCUUUGGAUAACAGCAGUCAUUUGGUAUCAAAUCCUACGAAAAAGGACACAAGAUGAAAACUAACUUUGGGACCUGCAGAUCUGUAAGCAUCCCACAUCCCUCAUCGGCCAUGGAGAAACUGUGUUCUUGAUUCCUUGAGGAAGACAAGACUUCUUUGGUGUUUCUUCUAUAACCACCACCAAAAAAAUAAAUCAAACUGCAAAUAUUUUCUAUUUCACUGUUAUUAAUUCCUUCCAAGCAGGUCAAUCCAUUUCUCUCUUUCAAGAGUGAGAUAGCGGGGCUUGCUGACACAUACCAGAGAGCCCUUUGAGCUUGCCUUCCUCCCAUUUCAAGAAAAGGCUUCAUCUUGAAUUCGCAUUCACAAACGCAGCAACCCGGGGGCUUUUCACAGCACCUUAAGCAGACUGAAGUGGAGCUGGCGCAUAAUCAGCGACGGAACAGCUGUUAUCCAGAGAUAACAGAGGCUGCAGAUGUGCAUGGGGUCAAGGGAGACAAUGCCAUCCCAGGACUGCUGAUUAUUCCUUCUCCUUGGUAGACCAAGCUCACCCACAAAAAACGUGAGAGGCUUCUAAACUUCAGCCAAAUAGACAUCCCAGGCUCUUUGCUUCCAGGAACGGAAAACUGAAGAUAACACAAGAUGGCCAUCUCACCUGCUCCAGUGCUCCGACCAGAUAGCAACGGCACACAGCAGCGAGGGAACGUGCAACCCCGGUGCCUGCUACUGUACCUCCUCCAUGACUGCAAACAACCUGAACACUCAAAUCACUUUGUGUUUCUCCUACUCAUUUGGCAUCCAUCAAAAGCAUUAAAUUCAUUCAAGUGUAAGUUACAUAGCUCCUCUUGUUUGUUGCCCUUUCUUGAUAACUGCUUAAAUCUUGUAUGUUGGGAUGGAGCUGUCCAGAAGGCAGGCAGGCCGGCCAACCUGUUACCAUCCGCUGCUUCUCACUGCAACUUAAGUACUACUCAUUUUCACUAGAGCUCAGUAACUCUGUACAGAACUACUGUGAGAUACUUGUGCAAUCCAGCACAAAACUGGGACCAAGGGUAGCUGAGCUUGAUGCGCUUUGAUUGAAUUUUAUAGGGUGUAAUUAAUCUGGCACUGCUGAUUUGCAUUUUUAAGUAUAUAUAUUCUUUCCUUUCUUGGAACUACUGCACUGCGUCGUGUGCUCAGUAAGAAACA
Molecule: long non-coding RNA, 1618 nt
Filed under: Gallus gallus (chicken)
Lineage: Eukaryota; Metazoa; Chordata; Aves; Galliformes; Phasianidae
Description: lncRNA (ENSGALG00010010852.1)
Source: RNAcentral